CGGCAAAUCCUCCAUCACGGUCAUCUCCGAGGAGAUCUCGGGCAACAACGGCUACGUGGAGCUCGCCUUCCGUGCCAAGAAGCUGGACGACAAGGACCUCUUCAGCAAGUCG
This is a non-coding RNA of Tinamus guttatus (white-throated tinamou), 112 nucleotides long. The record is from RefSeq and is a predicted model, not a curated record. Lineage: Eukaryota; Metazoa; Chordata; Aves; Tinamiformes; Tinamidae.